AUUGAACGCUGGCGGCAGGCCUAACACAUGCAAGUCGAGCGGAUGAAGGGAGCUUGCUCCUGGAUCCAGCGGCGGACGGGUGAGUAAUGCCUAGGAAUCUGCCUGGUAGUGGGGGAUAACGUCCGGAAACGGGCGCUAAUACCGCAUACGUCCUGAGGGAGAAAGUGGGGGAUCUUCGGACCUCACGCUAUCAGAUGAGCCUAGGUCGGAUUAGCUAGUUGGUGGGGUAAAGGCCUACCAAGGCGACGAUCCGUAACUGGUCUGAGAGGAUGAUCAGUCACACUGGCACUGAGACACGGUCCAGACUCCUACGGGAGGCAGCAGUGGGGAAUAUUGGACAAUGGGCGAAAGCCUGAUCCAGCCAUGCCGCGUGUGUGAAGAAGGUCUUCGGAUUGUAAAGCACUUUAAGUUGGGAGGAAGGGCAGUAAGUUAAUACCUUGCUGUUUUGACGUUACCAACAGAAUAAGCACCGGCUAACUUCGUG
This 484-nucleotide ribosomal RNA is filed under the name uncultured bacterium. RNAcentral describes it as "partial 16S ribosomal RNA". It matches the Rfam family "Bacterial small subunit ribosomal RNA", at positions 30 to 507 of the family's 1533-position model. The record is from RNAcentral.